CCUACGGGAGGCAGCAGUGAGGAAUAUUGGACAAUGGGCGCAAGCCUGAUCCAGCCAUGCCGCGUGCAGGAAGACGGUCCUAUGGAUUGUAAACUGCUUUUGUACGGGAAGAAACACUCCUUCGUGAAGGAGCUUGACGGUACCGUAAGAAUAAGGAUCGGCUAACUCCGUGCCAGCAGCCGCGGUAAUACGGAGGAUCCAAGCGUUAUCCGGAAUCAUUGGGUUUAAAGGGUCCGUAGGCGGUUUAGUAAGUCAGUGGUGAAAGCCCAUCGCUCAACGGUGGAACGGCCAUUGAUACUGCUAGACUUGAAUUAUUAGGAAGUAACUAGAAUAUGUAGUGUAGCGGUGAAAUGCUUAGAGAUUACAUGGAAUACCAAUUGCGAAGGCAGGUUACUACUAAUGGAUUGACGCUGAUGGACGAAAGCGUGGGUAGCGAACAGGAUUAGAUACCCUGGUAGUCCACGCCGUAAACGAUGGAUACUAGCUGUUGGCGCAAGUUCAGUGGCUAAGCGAAAGUGAUAAGUAUCCACCUGGGGAGUACGUUCGCAAGAANAGAACGACAANAGAGUAGACGCGUGAGACGUAGCGAGACGACGACGAGGGAGGAGG
RNAcentral lists this ribosomal RNA (609 nucleotides) under uncultured bacterium. Its description in RNAcentral is "bacterial SSU rRNA". It matches the Rfam family "Bacterial small subunit ribosomal RNA", at positions 338 to 951 of the family's 1533-position model. The record is from RNAcentral.